ACUCCUACGGGAGGCAGCAGUGGGAAUAUUGCACAAUGGGAAAGCCAUCGAUGCAGCCAUGCCGCGCUGUGUGAAGAAGGCCAAUUCGGGCUUGGUUAAAGACACUUUUCAGCGAGGAGGAAAAGGGUGUGUGCUAAUACCAUACAUCUGUGACGUUACUCGCAGAAGAAGCACCGGCUAACUCCGUGCCAGCAGCCGCGGUAAUACGGAGGGUGCGAGCGUUAAUCGGAAUUACUGGGCGUAAAGCGUGCGCAGGCGGUUUGUUAAGCGAGAUGUGAAAGCCCGGCUC
Molecule: ribosomal RNA, 289 nt
Filed under: uncultured bacterium
Lineage: Bacteria
Description: partial 16S ribosomal RNA
Rfam family: Bacterial small subunit ribosomal RNA
Source: RNAcentral